Molecule: ribosomal RNA, 1823 nt
Filed under: metagenome
Description: bacterial LSU rRNA
Rfam family: Bacterial large subunit ribosomal RNA
Source: RNAcentral
AAAAGGAUGUGGGAUUUCGAAGACAACCAGGAUGUUGGCUCAGAAGCAGCCAUCCAUUCAAAGAGUGCGUAAUAGCUCACUGGUCGAGAGGUCCUGCGCCGAAAAUGUCCGGGGCUGAAACGCGCCACCGAAACUAAGGAACCGAGAGGUUGGUAGAGGAGCAUUGCAUGCGGGAAGAAGCAGUACCGUAAGGAGCUGUGGACUGCAUGGAAGAGAGAAUGCCGGAAUGAGUAGCGAGAAUAAGGUGGGAAUCCUUAUGGCCGAAUAUCCAAGGUUUCCAGAGUAAAGCUGAUCUGCUCUGGGUAAGUCGGGGCCUAAGGCGAGGACGAGAGUCGUAGCCGAUGGACAACAGGUGGAGAUUCCUGUACUGCGGUAUGACAGAACUGUGGGGACACGUAAGGAAAGCGGAAGCCGGGAAUGGAAAGCCCGGUGCAAGCGGGGUACCAGUCACUUUGGCAAAUCCGGGUGGCAAUGGGAAGCCGUGAUGCGGAGCGAAAUAAAGUAGCGAAGUCCUGAGCCAUGCGUCAAGAAAAGCCGCUAUCGUUUAUACCGUACCCGUACCGUAAACCGACACAGGUGGAUGAGGAGAGAAUCCUAAGGCCGGCGGAAGAAGCAUUGUCAAGGAACUCGGCAAAAUGGCCCCGUAACUUAGGGAUAAGGGGUGCCUGGGAAACCAGGCCGCAGAGAAUAGGCUCAAGCAACUGUUUAGCAAAAACACAGGUCUAUGCGAAACCGAAAGGUGAGGUAUAUGGGCUGACGCCUGCCCGGUGCUGGAAGGUUAAGAGGAGAGGUUAGCGCAAGCGAAGCUUUGAAUUUAAGCCCCAGUAAACGGCGGCCGUAACAAUAACGGUCCUAAGGUAGCGAAAUUCCUUGUCGGGUAAGUUCCGACCCGCACGAAAGGCGUAAUGAUUUGAGCGCUGUCUCGACAAUGCAUCCGGUGAAAUUGAAGUACCAGUGAAGAUGCUGGUUACCUGCGCCAGGACGGAAAGACCCCAGGAGCUUUACUCCAGUCUGGUACUGGGACUCGGUAUUGCAUGUACAGGAUAGGUGGGAGGCUAGGAGAUGGUAACGCCAGUUGCCAUGGAGCCGCUGUUGGGAUACCACCCUUGCAGUAUUGGGUUUCUAACCAGCCGCCGUGACCCGGCGGUGGGACAAUGCCAGACGGGGAGUUUGACUGGGGCGGUCGCCUCCGAAAGGGUAUCGGAGGCGCCCAAAGGUUCCCUCAGAAUGGACGGAAACCAUUCGAAGAGUGCAAAGGCAGAAGGGAGCUUGACUGCGACACCGACGGGUGGAGCAGGUACGAAAGUAGGGCUUAGUGAUCCGGUGGUAUUAAGUGGGAAUGCCAUCGCUCAACGGAUAAAAGCUACCCUGGGAUAACAGGCUUAUCACUCCCAAGAGUUCACUUCGACGGAGUGGUUUGGCACCUCGAUGUCGGCUCAUCGCAUCCUGGGGCUGUAGUAGGUCCCAAGGGUUGGGCUGUUCGCCCAUUAAAGCGGUACGCGAGCUGGGUUCAGAACGUCGUGAGACAGUUCGGUCCCUAUCCGGCGUGGGCGUUGGAUAUCUGAGAGGAGCUGUCCUUAGUACGAGAGGACCGGGAUGGACGGGCCGCUGGUGCAUCGGUUAGACUGCCAAGUCUACGGCCGAGUAGCCAAGCCCGGAAGGGAUAAACGCUGAAGGCAUCUAAGCGUGAAGCCCCCCUUAAGAUGAGAUAUCCCAUUCGUUAAGAAGUAAACCCCCUUGAAGACGACGAGGUAGAUAGGGCAGAGGUGGAAGUGCAGCAAUGCAUGGAGCUGACUGUUACUAAUCGGGUGAGGGCUUGACCG